Molecule: long non-coding RNA, 180 nt
Organism: Arvicola amphibius (Eurasian water vole)
Lineage: Eukaryota; Metazoa; Chordata; Mammalia; Rodentia; Cricetidae
Exons: 2
Source: RefSeq, a predicted model, not a curated record
CUCCGGAACUCCACCGCCACCUGGGCCCGCCGUUGCCAUCGUUCUUCCUGGAUAAACUCGGAUCUUUCGCCCUGACAGCUACCUUCGGAAAUCCAUUUGUUAUUCGGUCCCCUCCAGCCAUACUUCCGCUUUGACUCAAGUGCCAACCCCUGAAGAAUCCAUUCCGACUUUUCGUCCCCA